Molecule: ribosomal RNA, 850 nt
Filed under: Brevibacterium epidermidis
Lineage: Bacteria; Bacillati; Actinomycetota; Actinomycetes; Micrococcales; Brevibacteriaceae
Description: bacterial SSU rRNA
Rfam family: Bacterial small subunit ribosomal RNA
Source: RNAcentral
GCAAGUCGAACGCUGAAGCCGACAGCUUGCUGUUGGUGGAUGAGUGGCGAACGGGUGAGUAACACGUGAGUAACCUGCCCCUGAUUUCGGGAUAAGCCUGGGAAACUGGGUCUAAUACCGGAUACGACCUCCUGACGCAUGUUGGGUGGUGGAAAGUUUUUCGAUCGGGGAUGGGCUCGCGGCCUAUCAGCUUGUUGGUGGGGUAAUGGCCUACCAAGGCGACGACGGGUAGCCGGCCUGAGAGGGCGACCGGCCACACUGGGACUGAGACACGGCCCAGACUCCUACGGGAGGCAGCAGUGGGGAAUAUUGCACAAUGGGGGAAACCCUGAUGCAGCGACGCAGCGUGCGGGAUGACGGCCUUCGGGUUGUAAACCGCUUUCAGCAGGGAAGAAGCGAAAGUGACGGUACCUGCAGAAGAAGUACCGGCUAACUACGUGCCAGCAGCCGCGGUAAUACGUAGGGUACGAGCGUUGUCCGGAAUUAUUGGGCGUAAAGAGCUCGUAGGUGGUUGGUCACGUCUGCUGUGGAAACGCAACGCUUAACGUUGCGCGUGCAGUGGGUACGGGCUGACUAGAGUGCAGUAGGGGAGUCUGGAAUUCCUGGUGUAGCGGUGAAAUGCGCAGAUAUCAGGAGGAACACCGGUGGCGAAGGCGGGACUCUGGGCUGUAACUGACACUGAGGAGCGAAAGCAUGGGGAGCGAACAGGAUUAGAUACCCUGGUAGUCCAUGCCGUAAACGUUGGGCACUAGGUGUGGGGGACAUUCCACGUUCUCCGCGCCGUAGCUAACGCAUUAAGUGCCCCGCCUGGGGAGUACGGUCGCAAGGCUAAAACUCAAAGGAAUUGACG